Molecule: small nuclear RNA, 104 nt
Filed under: Myotis davidii
Lineage: Eukaryota; Metazoa; Chordata; Mammalia; Chiroptera; Vespertilionidae
Source: RNAcentral
GUGCUCCCUUCGGCAGCACAUAGACUAAAAUUGGAACAAUACAGAGAUUAGCAUGGCCCCUGUGCAAGGAUAACACACAAAUUUGUGAAGCGUUCCAUAUUUUA